CAAUAGCGUAUAUUAAAGUUGUUGCAGUUAAAAAGCUCGUAGUUGGAUUUCUGGUGGGAGCGAUCGGUCUGGCGCUUAGCGCGAGUACUUGCAUCGUCUCCGGCCAUCCUUGGGGAGAGUCCGUCUGGCAUUAAGUUGUCGGGCAGAGGAUCCUCAUCGUUUACUGUGAAAAAUUAGAGUGUUCAAAGCAGGCUUAUGCCGUUGAAUAUAUUAGCAUGGAAUAAUAAGAUAGGACUUUGGUACUAUUUUGUUGGUCUGCGCACCAAAGUAAUGAUUAAUAGGGACAGUUGGGGGUAUUCGUAUUCCGUUGUCAGAGGUGAAAUUCUUGGAUUUACGGAAGACGAACUACUGCGAAAGCAUUUACCAAGGAUGUUUUCAUUAA
RNAcentral lists this ribosomal RNA (382 nucleotides) under uncultured eukaryote. RNAcentral describes it as "partial 18S ribosomal RNA". It matches the Rfam family "Eukaryotic small subunit ribosomal RNA", at positions 592 to 976 of the family's 1831-position model. The record is from RNAcentral.